RNAcentral lists this long non-coding RNA (391 nucleotides) under Cricetulus griseus (Chinese hamster). RNAcentral describes it as "lncRNA (ENSCGRG00000024863.1)". The record is from RNAcentral. Lineage: Eukaryota; Metazoa; Chordata; Mammalia; Rodentia; Cricetidae.
CACCAACUGUGCUAUGUUUGAAAAGCAUGAAGAAGGCUUCCCAAUGGAAGAAAUUCUGCAAUUGACUGAAACUCAAAAGAAAAGCAGCUUUUUAAAGAAAACCCAAAAAGAGAAGCAGGAGAAACCAUGGCAAGUGUACUGGCAGCCUCAGAACACAGGCCUGGCACCUGUCAGCCUUGAGCGGCACCUGGGCAAGGACCCCCAACUCCUAGCAGAACAGGUAAUUUCAUGGACAGAAAUGGCUCAGCCCAAGAUUAGUGAAAUAAAAGUGAACUUCCAGGAGUGAAGAGAAUGGGUUUACAUGCGUCUAGCAUUCUAUUUCUCACUGUUUUAUCUCUGAUUAUAAAAUUUACAGGAUGUACCUGUGUAAACAGGAAUGAAAUAUGCUUUC